UACGUAGGUGACCAGCGUUGUCCGGAUUUACUGGGCGUAAAGAGCGCGCAGGCGGUCGUUCAAGUCGAGUGUGAAAGCCCCCGGCUCAACUGGGGAGGGUCACUUGAUACUGAUCGACUGGAAGGCAGGAGAGGGAAGCGGAAUUCCCGGUGUAGUGGUGAAAUGCGUAGAUAUCGGGAGGAACACCAGUGGCGAAGGCGGCUUCCUGGC
This 210-nucleotide ribosomal RNA is filed under the name uncultured bacterium. RNAcentral describes it as "partial 16S ribosomal RNA". It matches the Rfam family "Bacterial small subunit ribosomal RNA", at positions 524 to 733 of the family's 1533-position model. The record is from RNAcentral.